AUAUAAUCAAUGGGAACAGAACUCUCGUGUGGAACAGAAAGGUAAAAGUGUGUUUGAUUUUGAUUUUCAGUACGAAUACGAACUGUGAAAGCGU
RNAcentral lists this ribosomal RNA (94 nucleotides) under Beta vulgaris subsp. vulgaris (sugar beet). Its description in RNAcentral is "rRNA LSU_rRNA_eukarya". It matches the Rfam family "Eukaryotic large subunit ribosomal RNA", at positions 2668 to 2761 of the family's 3401-position model. Lineage: Eukaryota; Viridiplantae; Streptophyta; Magnoliopsida; Caryophyllales; Amaranthaceae. The record is from RNAcentral.